CUACGGGAGGCUGCAGUGGGGAAUCUUAGACAAUGGGGGAAACCCUGAUCUAGCCAUGCCGCGUGAUCGAUGAAGGCCUUAGGGUUGUAAAGAUCUUUCAGGUGGGAAGAUAAUGACUGUACCACCAGAAGAAGCCCCGGCUAACUCCGUGCCAGCAGCCGCGGUAAUACGGAGGGGGCUAGCGUUAUUCGGAAUUACUGGGCGUAAAGCGCACGUAGGCGGACUGAAAAGUCAGAGGUGAAAUCCCAGGGCUCAACCUUGGAACUGCCUUUGAAACUCUCAGUCUUGAGGUCGAGAGAGGUGAGUGGAAUUCCGAGUGUAGAGGUGAAAUUCAUAGAUAUUCGGAGGAACACCAGUGGCGAAGGCGGCUCACUGGCUCGAUACUGACGCUGAGGUGCGAAAGCGUGGGGAGCAAACAGGAUUAGAUACCCGCGUAGUC
This 439-nucleotide ribosomal RNA is filed under the name uncultured bacterium. RNAcentral's name for it is "partial 16S ribosomal RNA". It matches the Rfam family "Bacterial small subunit ribosomal RNA", at positions 339 to 795 of the family's 1533-position model. The record is from RNAcentral.